UUUCUUCUGACUUUCCGUUUUCGGAUAGCCAACUCUUUUGAUUUUUGGAACUUAUGACUUAUGGCAAGAGAGAAGAAAACUGCAUGACUUUAAAAGAAAACCAGUGAGAUAAAAUCAUAUAAAAUGUAUGAUGAUUCAGGAUGUGGUCAUUUGAGACCUGUUCUGUGGAUGCCCUUAGACAGUGUGUCUACCCAUCACACCAUCUGAUAUCACUUGUUCUGAGCACAUUUCUCUCUCAAACUUAAACUACAGAGAGCCUGUGGAUAGAGGAUGAAGAGUGACCUUGGACUUAUUUUCUAGGUCAAAGAUCAUAGGUGAUGUGAAGGAAAUACCAGGGGACUGAUGUUGAAAGAAGUACUUAAUGACGCUUAUGAAUGGACUUAAAUGUGAAAGACUGUUCCAUUGUUUAUCUAAGAUAUAUGAAUUUAUUUAGUAUUUUGAUAUCAUUGAAAAAUACUGUUACA
Molecule: long non-coding RNA, 464 nt
Organism: Saccostrea cuccullata (small rock oyster)
Lineage: Eukaryota; Metazoa; Mollusca; Bivalvia; Ostreida; Ostreidae
Exons: 4
Source: RefSeq, a predicted model, not a curated record